AAUAUUGGACAAUGGGCGAAAGCCUGAUCCCGUCAUGCCGCGUGUGCUAAGAAGCUCUUCGGUUUGUAAAGCACUUUAAGUGGGGGGGCAGGGCAGUAAGUUAAUACCUUGUUGUUUUGACGUUACCGACAGAAUAAGCACCGGCUACUUCUGUGCCAGCAGCCGCGGUAAUACAGAGGGUGCAAGCGUUAAUGGGAAUUACUGGGCGUAAAGCGCGCGUAGGUGGUUCAGUAAGAUGGGUGUGAAAUCCCCGGGCUUAACCUGGGAACUGCUUUCAUAACUGCUGAGCUAGAGUAUGGCAGAGGGUGGUGGAAUUUCCUGUGUAGCGGUGAAAUGCGUAGAUAUAGGAAGGGACACCAGUGGCGAAGGCGACCACCUGGGCUAAUACUGACACUGAGGUGCGAAAGCGUGGGGAGCAAAC
RNAcentral lists this ribosomal RNA (421 nucleotides) under uncultured bacterium. RNAcentral's name for it is "partial 16S ribosomal RNA". It matches the Rfam family "Bacterial small subunit ribosomal RNA", at positions 360 to 773 of the family's 1533-position model. The record is from RNAcentral.